UUCCAAAUCACUGAUGGACAAAACUC
Molecule: non-coding RNA, 26 nt
Filed under: Mus musculus (house mouse)
Lineage: Eukaryota; Metazoa; Chordata; Mammalia; Rodentia; Muridae
Source: RNAcentral